This 522-nucleotide ribosomal RNA is filed under the name uncultured bacterium. RNAcentral's name for it is "bacterial SSU rRNA". It matches the Rfam family "Bacterial small subunit ribosomal RNA", at positions 8 to 518 of the family's 1533-position model. The record is from RNAcentral.
AGGGUUCGAUUCUGGCUCAGGAUGAACGCUAGCUACAGGCUUAACACUUGCAAGUCGAGGGGCAGCAUGAUCUUAGCUUGCUAAGAUGAUGGCGACCGGCGCACGGGUGAGUAACGCGUAUCCAACCUUCCCUGUACUAGGGGAUAGCCCGGCGAAAGUCGGAUUAAUACCCUAUGUUUUCCGAAGCGAGCAUUUAAUUUGGAACAAAGGUUUACCGGUAUAGGAUGGGGGAUGCGUCUGAUUAGAUAGUAGGCGGGGUAACGGCCCACCUAGUCGACGAUCAGUAGGGGUUCUGAGAGGAAGGUCCCCCCACAUUGGAACUGAGACACGGUCCAAACUCCUACGGGAGGCAGCAGUGAGGAAUAUUGGUCAAUGGGCGAGAGCCUGAACCAGCCAAGUAGCGUGCAGGAUGACGGCCCUAUGGGUUGUAAACUGCUUUUAUAUAGGGAUAAAGUGAGGGACGUGUCCCUUAUUGUAGGUACUAUAUGAAUAAGGACCGGCUAAUUCCGUGCCAGCAGCCGC